AAUACUAUACUUUCAGGGAUAAUUUCUCUAGUUCAUCACUAGAGAAGUUUCUCUGAAAGUGUAGAACACCAGAAACCAUGAAGAGAGGUGCAGCGUCCUCUCCUGAGUGUGAAGCUGGGUCCUGGUGUUGCUUCGCUGCAACUGCCAUUUGCCAUUGAUGAUUGUUUUUCUCUUCUCUUGGGAGAGUAAGAGGGAAGGAUGCAGUCUGAGUGGU
Molecule: small nucleolar RNA, 214 nt
Organism: Aotus nancymaae (Ma's night monkey)
Lineage: Eukaryota; Metazoa; Chordata; Mammalia; Primates; Aotidae
Gene: U3
Rfam family: Small nucleolar RNA U3
About the family: Small nucleolar RNAs (snoRNAs) are involved in the processing and modification of rRNA in the nucleolus. There are two main classes of snoRNAs: the box C/D class, and the box H/ACA class. U3 snoRNA is a member of the box C/D class.
Source: Ensembl